Molecule: ribosomal RNA, 500 nt
Filed under: uncultured bacterium
Lineage: Bacteria
Description: partial 16S ribosomal RNA
Rfam family: Bacterial small subunit ribosomal RNA
Source: RNAcentral
AGUGAACGCUGGCGGAAUGCUUUACACAUGCAAGUCGAACGGCAGCACGGACUUCGGUCUGGUGGCGAGUGGCGAACGGGUGAGUAAUGUAUCGGAACGUGCCCAGUCGUGGGGGAUAACGUAGUGAAAAUUACGCUAAUACCGCAUACGAUCUAUGGAUGAAAGCGGGGGAUCGCAAGACCUCGCGCGAUUGGAGCGGCCGAUAUCAGAUUAGGUAGUUGGUGGGGUAAAGGCACACCAAGCCAACGAUCUGUAGCUGGUCUGAGAGGACGACCAGCCACACUGGAACUGAGACACGGUCCAGACUCCUGCGGGAGGCAGCAGUGGGGAAUUUUGGACAAUGGGCGAAAGCCUGAUCCAGCCAUUCCGCGUGCAGGAUGAAGGCCCUCGGGUUGUAAACUGCUUUUGUACAGAACGAAAAGGUUUCUACUAAUACUAGGAGCUCAUGACGGUACUGUAAGAAUAAGCACCGGCUAACUACGUGCCAGCAGCCGCAGUAA